CCCUGCUCAGGAUGAACGCUGGCGGCGUGCCUAAUACAUGCAAGUCGAGCGAACAGAUAAGGAGCUUGCUCCUUUGACGUUAGCGGCGGACGGGUGAGUAACACGUGGGUAACCUACCUAUAAGACUGGGACAACUUCGGGAAACCGGAGCUAAUACCGGAUAAUAUGUUGAACCGCAUGGUUCAAUAGUGAAAGAUGGUUUUGCUAUCACUUAUAGAUGGACCCGCGCCGUAUUAGCUAGUUGGUGAGGUAACGGCUCACCAAGGCAACGAUACGUAGCCGACCUGAGAGGGUGAUCGGCCACACUGGAACUGAGACACGGUCCAGACUCCUACGGGAGGCAGCAGUAGGGAAUCUUCCGCAAUGGGCGAAAGCCUGACGGAGCAACGCCGCGUGAGUGAUGAAGGUCUUAGGAUCGUAAAACUCUGUUAUUAGGGAAGAACAAACGUGUAAGUAACUGUGCACGUCUUGACGGUACCUAAUCAGAAAGCCACGGCUAACUACGUGCCAGCAGCCGCGGUAAUACGUAGGUGGCAAGCGUUAUCCGGAAUUAUUGGGCGUAAAGCGCGCGUAGGCGGUUUUUUAAGUCUGAUGUGAAAGCCCACGGCUCAACCGUGGAGGGUCAUUGGAAACUGGAAAACUUGAGUGCAGAAGAGGAAAGUGGAAUUCCAUGUGUAGCGGUGAAAUGCGCAGAGAUAUGGAGGAACACCAGUGGCGAAGGCGACUUUCUGGUCUGUAACUGACGCUGAUGUGCGAAAGCGUGGGGAUCAAACAGGAUUAGAUACCCUGGUAGUCCACGCCGUAAACGAUGAGUGCUAAGUGUUAAGGGGGUUUCCGCCCCUUAGUGCUGCAGCUAACGCAUUAAGCACUCCGCCUGGGGGAGUACGACCGCAAGGUUGAACAG
RNAcentral lists this ribosomal RNA (904 nucleotides) under bacterium 126(2013). RNAcentral's name for it is "bacterial SSU rRNA". It matches the Rfam family "Bacterial small subunit ribosomal RNA", at positions 18 to 900 of the family's 1533-position model. The record is from RNAcentral.